CAGUCGCCGCGGUAAUACGAAGGGUGCAAGCGUUACUCGGAAUUACUGGGCGUAAAGCGUGCGUAGGUGGUUGUUUAAGUCUGCUGUGAAAGCCCUGGGCUCAACCUGGGAAUUGCAGUGGAUACUGGGCGACUAGAGUAAGGUAGAGGAUAGUGGAAUUUCCGGUGUAGCAGUGAAAUGCAUAGAGAUCGGAAGGAACAUCUGUGGCGAAGGCGACUAUCUGGGCCAUUACUGACACUGAGGCACGAAAGCGUGGGGAGCAAACAGGAUUAGAUACCCCCGUAGUCCCUGUCUCUUAUAC
Molecule: ribosomal RNA, 301 nt
Filed under: uncultured bacterium
Lineage: Bacteria
Description: partial 16S ribosomal RNA
Rfam family: Bacterial small subunit ribosomal RNA
Source: RNAcentral